UCCUGGCUUGUCCUCUGGUUUCCCUCCCCUUCUGCCACACUAGGAAGCCCGUUUUGAACAUCUCAAGAAUCUUCCUCCUACUCUAGUCCUCAGAUUUAGCCACAUGGAGCCUCUCAGCAAGCAGCGCUCCUUGUCUCUGUUGCAACUAAUGCUCAGAGUCAAAGAGAAUUACUUCUCCACUGUGAGCAAGCAGGUGCUGUUCUGGGUGGCCAUUUUUCUCUUUGCAGUAGGAACCACCCAUGGUGGCAUUACUCAGACACCCAAAUUUCUGAUCAGUCAGUCAGGGCAGAAACUGACCUUGAAAUGUGAACAGAAUUUCAAUCAUGACACCAUGUACUGGUACCGACAGGAUUCAGGGAAAGGACUGCAACUGAUCUACUAUUCAAUAACAGAAAAAGAUCUCCAAAAAGGGGAGCUUUCUGAAGGCUAUGAUGCCUCUCGCGAGAAGAAGCCAUUUUUUCAUCUCACUGUGACAUCUGCCCAGAAGAACCAGAUGGCUGUCUAUCUCUGUGCUAGCAGCAUAGCACAGUGGGGAACAGCCACCUCCUCUCUAAGCAUAAACAUGUCCAAGUCCUGCUUCCCCACCAGGUGGCUCUUAGGUCCUCCGCCAACACCUGUCCUUUCACUUCAGCCAGGAUCUGAAACAAAGUAG
This is a non-coding RNA of Meriones unguiculatus (Mongolian gerbil), 652 nucleotides long. The record is from the annotation of a RefSeq genome assembly. NCBI's taxonomy places the organism in Eukaryota, Metazoa, Chordata, Mammalia, Rodentia, Muridae.